UACGUAGGGUGCGAGCGUUAAUCGGAAUUACUGGGCGUAAAGCGCGCGUAGGCGGUUUGAUAAGUCGGAUGUGAAAGCCCCGGGCUUAACCUGGGAAUUGCAUUCGAUACUGUCAGGCUCGAGUCUAGGAGAGGGAAGCGGAAUUCCGGGUGUAGCGGUGAAAUGCGUAGAUAUCCGGAGGAACAUCAGUGGCGAAGGCGGCUUCCUGGCCUAAGACUGACGCUGAGGUGCGAAAGCGUGGGGAGCAAACAGG
This 253-nucleotide ribosomal RNA is filed under the name uncultured bacterium. RNAcentral's name for it is "partial 16S ribosomal RNA". It matches the Rfam family "Bacterial small subunit ribosomal RNA", at positions 524 to 776 of the family's 1533-position model. The record is from RNAcentral.